GGUUAAGCGACUAAGCGUACACGGUGGAUGCCCUGGCAGUCAGAGGCGAUGAAGGACGUGCUAAUCUGCGAAAAGCGCCGGCGAGGUGAUAUGAACCUUUGACCCGGCGAUGUCCGAAUGGGGAAACCCAGUGUGAUUCGUCACACUAUCGUUAACUGAAUACAUAGGUUAACGAGGCGAACCGGGGGAACUGAAACAUCUAAGUACCCCGAGGAAAAGAAAUCAACCGAGAUUCCCCCAGUAGCGGCGAGCGAACGGGGAGCAGCCCGGAGUCUGAAUCAGCUUGUGUGUUAGUGGAACGGUCUGGAAAGUCCGACGGUACAGGGUGAUAGUCCCGUACACGAAAAUGCACAGGUUGUGAACUCGAAGAGUAGGGCGGGACACGUGGUAUCCUGUCUGAAUAUGGGGGGACCAUCCUCCAAGGCUAAAUACUCCUGACUGACCGAUAGUGAACCAGUACCGUGAGGGAAAGGCGAAAAGAACCCCGGCGAGGGGAGUGAAAAAGAACCUGAAACCGUGUACGUACAAGCAGUGGGAGCCUACUUGUUAGGUGACUGCGUACCUUUUGUAUAAUGGGUCAGCGACUUAU
RNAcentral lists this ribosomal RNA (589 nucleotides) under Enterobacter kobei. RNAcentral's name for it is "partial 23S ribosomal RNA". It matches the Rfam family "Bacterial large subunit ribosomal RNA", at positions 1 to 631 of the family's 2925-position model. The record is from RNAcentral. Lineage: Bacteria; Pseudomonadati; Pseudomonadota; Gammaproteobacteria; Enterobacterales; Enterobacteriaceae.